Molecule: small RNA, 232 nt
Filed under: Vigna angularis var. angularis
Lineage: Eukaryota; Viridiplantae; Streptophyta; Magnoliopsida; Fabales; Fabaceae
Description: Non-protein coding transcript
Source: RNAcentral
CUUUUUAGCAGUAAAUUUUAAAGGUAUGACAGAAAACAUAAAGGACAUUCACACAUGGAAAAUCCCAAGAAGAAGAAGUGUCAUCGUCUUUUGACACCUUCCAAAUCCCUCCCCCCUCUCUCCCUCUCUCUCUCUCAUAUGGUGCUAGCUAAUUCUUUCCUCCAUCUUACAGAAGCACAUGCUUAAUCACAGAGUCACCUUCGUUUGUUUAUUAUUUUUUCUUUCCAUUACA